AACGAAGAUGAAUGAAGACCCGCUGAAAACUGGAGACCUCAGUCUGACCAUGAAAUACCCCACAGAUGGAGAGAAUUACACCUGCACCGUCUACAGCAGGGAGGGAAACAUCCUGCUGAAGAAAACGGUGGAAUUGAAAGUCAGAGUCUGUCAGGUGGAGGUGGAGAAGGGGGCGGAGUCUGUCCAGCUGACUUUCAAAACCACUGAAAACCUGCCUGAGGAUGCUAAAGUGCUAUGGUUUCACAGUGAUGAAAGGACAGUCCACGUGUACAAGAACGGCUCUGACCAGCCUGAAGAACAGCACCAGGUUUACAGAGACCGAACGAAGAUGAAUGAAGACCUGCUGAAAACUGGAGACCUCAGUCUGACCCUGAAAUACCCCACAGAUGGAGACAGUGGAGUGUAUGAAUGUGUAGUUGACAGCAGGAAUGUCUGGAUAAGAUAUAAAUCACUAAUGCUGACAGUCAAAGGGAGAGUUCAGGCCCAGGAUCAAACAGGGGACAUCAGGAACAGAAGCAGCUCCAUUGAUCCGACUCCUCUGAUGGCUGAUCAAUCAGUUUGAUCUGUGUGUUCUUGGGGGGGGGUUGUGUUAUUCUUGUGUGUCUGUGUCUGUGGCAAGAUCUGAAAACUGCUGUUCACAAACGCUGUCCAUCUAAUCUGACUGAGCUGGAGCUGUUUUGCAAAGAAGAAUGGGCAAGGAUUUCAGUCUGUAGAUGUGCAAAGCUGGUAGAGACAUACCCUAAAAGACUGGCAGCUGUAAUUGCAGCAAAAGGUGGUUCUAUAAAGUAUUGACUCAGGGGGCUGAAUAAUUACGCACACCCCACUUUUCAGUUAUUUAUUUGUAAAAAAUGUUUGGAAUCAUGUAUGAUUUUUGUUCCACUUCUCACGUGUACACCACUUUGUAUUGGUCUUUCACGUGGAAUUCCAAUAAAAUUGAUUCAUGUUUGUGGCUGUAAUGUGACAAAAUGUGGGAAAGUUCAAGGGGGCCGAAUACUUUUGCAAGCCACUGUAGCUGCCAUUCUGAUUCAUUUACAUGUUGAAAGGGAGUGGGAAGAAGUAAACACUUAUUUAAUCCCACCCCUUUGCCAUAAAUUAUCAGUUAAUAUUUAGUCAGCUUCCUUACUGAUAUAAUUUGUAAUAAAAACAGUGGACAGAUUUCUGAUAUACUAUAUACUAUAAUAUCACAUCAAGAAUUUUUUAUAUAUAUAUUUUUAAAUAGAGACAUUCACUUAAUUUCAAUAUUUUCCUUUUCUUUAUAGUUCGAGAAGAUCAUAUUUUUAUAAUUCUUUUUGAACUGUUUUAUGUUUGGACAUUGCUUUAAUUCCAUAUUCAGACUGUUCCAUAGUUUCACUCCAUGAACAGAAACACUAAAGCUUUUUCUUGUAGUACGGACCUUCCCUGUUUUGAAGUUACAAAAAACCCUUAAAUUAUAACUUUAAAAAAAAACAUACUCUGUAUAUUACCUGGCAGUUCUUUAUUUUUUGCUUUGAAUAGAAUUUGUGCUAUUUGGAAUUUCACUAGAUCGUCAAUUUUCAAUAUUUCAGACUGCAAAAAUAGUUUGUAUGUUCCCUAUAGCCUGCAUUGUGGAUGAUUCGAAUUGCUUUUUUUCUUUUUGAAGAGUAAAAAGUGAAUGUAAUGUGGUUUUAUAGUUAUUGCCCCAGACCUCUGCACAAUAGCUUAAGUAUGGUGAAACCAGUGAACAGUAGCGAAUAUGAAGUGAUGUUCUGUCGAAUACCUGUUUUGCCUUGUUUAGUACUGCAAUGCUACGUGAUACUUUGGAAUGAAUAUAUCUUACGUGAGCUCUCCAGUUAAGUUUUUCAUCUAUUAUUACCCCCAGAAAUUUAUUUUCACUGACUCUUUCAAUAUCAACACCAUUUAUUUGAAUCUUUGCAUUUGUAUUUAAACUACUAUUUCCAAAUAACGUAAGCUUAGAUUUAUUCAAAUUUAAUGAUAAUUUGUUUUUAUCAAGCCAGAACUUCACUUUACUUAUUUCAUUAGUCAUAUCCUCCAAUAAAUUCUGCAGAUCAUCACCAGAGCAAAAAUGUUUGUAUCAUCAGCAAAGAGAACCCUUUUUAAUACUUUGGACACUUUACAGAUGUCGUUAAUGUACAAUUUUGUGGUACAAUGUUGAAAAAGGAAAGAAAUGUUUGUGACCUGAAACUGUUCAUAUACUUCUGUAUAUAUAAACAGAAAUAGAGAUCAUCAAUAUACUGUUUGUAAUACUGCUUAAAUGUACACAAGCUUACUGUAGACAUUAAUAUAGAGCAGAGGUAUCAAACUCCAGUCCUCGAGGGCAGGUGUCUUAAAACUUUUCCAUGUGUCCCUGUUGCACACCUGAAUACGAUUAGUCGGUCAUUGGCAAGACUAUAGAACUUGACUGCAUGCUGAGGUGGCAGUUCAGCCAUUUGAUUCAUGUGGCAGCAGCUCAUGAGUGAAUGAACAUAGGGCAAAAAAACUCUAAUCUCUGAAGCCACUGCUGCUUUCACACACAUUUAACUAAACCUGUAACUUCACUCUUCCACCAGCAGAGGGCUCUAGUUUUCCGCUCACAGCACUGAACAGCCUGUAAAUAAAGGAUGGAAGCAGCAGUCUCCGCUUCAGGCUGUUAGGCAGCAUCUGUAUGUGGAGUUAUCAGCAAGCAGCACAAAGCAGAGCUUCAGUCAGAUGUCUCCGUGCUUCAGUCUGUGGCUGGUGUCCUCACCAAGUGUUGUUCCUUUUGUUUGAGGUGGAUGAAGCUCCUGAGAUGGAGCUGUGAAGGAGCACAAACAUCUCCAGACUGUUUCUCACACAAAUGAAGUGCAGAUGUGUUUCUGAUGUUCACUUUAUUCACUUCAAACCAUUUCUUUCAGUUUUUUUCCACUGCAUUCAAAAGUCAUCCCAGACUUUCACUACAGCAAUUUAAAGCAGUGCCAUCAGCAAAUAAGGUGAAUGUUAACCAUUCAGACACAUUGUGCAUCAUUUGUGUACAACACAAACAAAUUAGGGACCAGCUCUGUACAUACUGAUGUAAUUCCAUUUAAUAUUGUAUCUCUCAAGCUUUUCCCUCAGUAAUCUGGGCUCUAUUUUACCAAAUCAAAGAACAGAGCAACCUGCCUGCUUUAAAUUCACACUUGUGACAACUCAAUAAAAUUUAGUUUCC
Long non-coding RNA from Oreochromis aureus, 3139 nucleotides. The record is from Ensembl. Lineage: Eukaryota; Metazoa; Chordata; Actinopteri; Cichliformes; Cichlidae.